UACGUAGGGGGCGAGCGUUGUCCGGAUUCAUUGGGCGUAAAGAGCUCGUAGGCGGUUCAGUAAGUCGGGUGUGAAAUCUCCGUGCUCAACACGGAGCGGCCACCUGAUACUGCUGUGACUCGAGUCCGGUAGGGGAGUGUGGAAUUCCCGGUGUAGCGGUGAAAUGCGCAGAUAUCGGGAGGAACACCAGUGGCGAAGGCGGUUGCCUGGAGCUUUGCUGACGCUGAGGCGCGAAAGCGUGGGGAGCAAACAGG
RNAcentral lists this ribosomal RNA (254 nucleotides) under uncultured bacterium. RNAcentral's name for it is "partial 16S ribosomal RNA". It matches the Rfam family "Bacterial small subunit ribosomal RNA", at positions 524 to 776 of the family's 1533-position model. The record is from RNAcentral.